RNAcentral lists this ribosomal RNA (486 nucleotides) under uncultured bacterium. RNAcentral's name for it is "bacterial SSU rRNA". It matches the Rfam family "Bacterial small subunit ribosomal RNA", at positions 30 to 507 of the family's 1533-position model. The record is from RNAcentral.
UGAACGCUGGCGGCGUGCUUAACACAUGCAAGUCGAACGGCAGCACAGGGAGCUUGCUCCCGGGUGGCGAGUGGCGCACGGGUGAGUAAUACAUCGGAACGUGUCCUGUUGUGGGGGAUAACUGCCCGAAAGGGUGGCUAAUACCGCAUGAGACCUGAGGGUGAAAGCGGGGGAUCGCAAGACCUCGCGCAAUUGGAGCGGCCGAUGCCCGAUUAGCUAGUUGGUGAGGUAAAGGCUCACCAAGGCGACGAUCGGUAGCUGGUCUGAGAGGACGACCAGCCACACUGGGACUGAGACACGGCCCAGACUCCUACGGGAGGCAGCAGUGGGGAAUUUUGGACAAUGGGGGCAACCCUGAUCCAGCCAUGCCGCGUGCAGGAUGAAGGCCUUCGGGUUGUAAACUGCUUUUGUCAGGGACGAAAAGGACCGUGUUAAUACCAUGGUCUGCUGACGGUACCUGAAGAAUAAGCACCGGCUAACUACGUG